AUUGAACGCUGGCGGCAGGCCUAAUACAUGCAAGUCGAGCGAAGCGGGGACGGGUGAGUAACACGUGGAUAACCUCCUAUAAGACUGGGAUAAUUUCGGGAACCCGGAGCUAACCUCGAUACUUCUAGAUGGAUCUGAGCUGCUUUAGCUAGUUGGUAAGGUAACGGCUUACCAAGGCGACGAUGCAUAGCCGACCUGAGAGGGUGGUCGGCCACACUGGGACUGAGACACGGUCCAGACGCCUACGGGAGGCAGCAGUAGGGAAUCUUGCGCAAUGGGCGAAAGCCUGACGGAGCAAUGCCGCGUGAGUGAUGAAGGUCUUAGGGUCGUAAAACUCUAUUAUUAGGGAAGCGGUACCGAAUCAAAAAGCAACGGCUAACUACGUGCCAGCAGCCGCGGUAAUUC
RNAcentral lists this ribosomal RNA (405 nucleotides) under uncultured bacterium. RNAcentral describes it as "partial 16S ribosomal RNA". It matches the Rfam family "Bacterial small subunit ribosomal RNA", at positions 30 to 526 of the family's 1533-position model. The record is from RNAcentral.